UUAAGUUCAGCGGGUAUCCCUACCUGAUCCGAGGUCAACCAUAGAAGGGUUAGUUCUGGCAGGCUACCGCCUAGCCCCAGAGCGAGAGCUGUACUACGCUUGGAGCCAGACGGCACCGCCACUGACUUUAGGGCCCGCCGGGUCGGCGGGGCCCAAUACCAAGCUGAGCUUGAGGGUUGUAAUGACGCUCGGACAGGCAU
This 200-nucleotide unclassified non-coding RNA is filed under the name Geomyces sp. RNAcentral describes it as "partial internal transcribed spacer 2". Lineage: Eukaryota; Fungi; Ascomycota; Leotiomycetes; Thelebolales; Pseudeurotiaceae. The record is from RNAcentral.